RNAcentral lists this transfer RNA (77 nucleotides) under Flavobacteriaceae bacterium. Its description in RNAcentral is "tRNA-Arg". It matches the Rfam family "tRNA". From Rfam's summary of the family: Transfer RNA (tRNA) molecules are approximately 80 nucleotides in length. RNAcentral also lists the same sequence under 3 other names. Lineage: Bacteria; Pseudomonadati; Bacteroidota; Flavobacteriia; Flavobacteriales; Flavobacteriaceae. The record is from RNAcentral.
GCGCCCGUAACUCAGCUGGAUAGAGUGCUUGGCUUCGAACCAAGUGGUCGGGAGUUCGAAUCUCUCCGGGCGUGCCA